This 2172-nucleotide ribosomal RNA is filed under the name Pseudoalteromonas sp. PLSV. RNAcentral describes it as "bacterial LSU rRNA". It matches the Rfam family "Bacterial large subunit ribosomal RNA", at positions 14 to 2230 of the family's 2925-position model. The record is from RNAcentral. Lineage: Bacteria; Pseudomonadati; Pseudomonadota; Gammaproteobacteria; Alteromonadales; Pseudoalteromonadaceae.
AGCGUAUACGGUGGAUGCCUAGGCAGUUAGAGGCGAUGAAGGACGUGUAAGUCUGCGAAAAGUUGUGGGGAGCCGACAAAAUGCUUUGAUCCACAAAUGUCCGAAUGGGGAAACCCACCGCUUCGGCGGUAUCAUGCAGUGAAUACAUAGCUGCAUGAGGCAAACGAGGGGAACUGAAACAUCUAAGUACCCUUAGGAAAAGAAAUCAACCGAGAUUCCCCUAGUAGCGGCGAGCGAACGGGGAUUAGCCCUUAAGCUAAUUAUAAGCGAGUGGAAGGUGUUGGAAAGCACAGCGAUACAAGGUGAUAGCCCUGUACACGAACGCGAAUUUUAAGUGAAAUCGAGUAGGUCGGGACACGUGUUAUCUUGACUGAACAUGGGGGGACCAUCCUCCAAGGCUAAAUACUCCUAACUGACCGAUAGUGAACUAGUACCGUGAGGGAAAGGCGAAAAGAACCCCUGUGAGGGGAGUGAAAUAGAACCUGAAACCGUAUACGUACAAGCAGUGGGAGCAGACUUGUUCUGUGACUGCGUACCUUUUGUAUAAUGGGUCAGCGACUUAUAUUUUGUAGCAAGGUUAACCGAAUAGGGGAGCCGUAGCGAAAGCGAGUGUUAACUGCGCGUUUUAGUUGCAAGGUAUAGACCCGAAACCCGGUGAUCUAGCCAUGGGCAGGUUGAAGGUUGAGUAACAUCAACUGGAGGACCGAACCGACUAACGUUGAAAAGUUAGCGGAUGACUUGUGGCUGGGGGUGAAAGGCCAAUCAAACCGGGAGAUAGCUGGUUCUCCCCGAAAGCUAUUUAGGUAGCGCCUCGGACGAAUACCACUGGGGGUAGAGCACUGUUAAGGCUAGGGGGUCAUCCCGACUUACCAACCCUUUGCAAACUCCGAAUACCAGUGAGUACUAUCCGGGAGACACACGGCGGGUGCUAACGUCCGUCGUGAAGAGGGAAACAACCCAGACCGCCAGCUAAGGUCCCAAAAUUAUUGCUAAGUGGGAAACGAUGUGGGAAGGCUAAGACAGCUAGGAGGUUGGCUUAGAAGCAGCCACCCUUUAAAGAAAGCGUAAUAGCUCACUAGUCGAGUCGGCCUGCGCGGAAGAUGUAACGGGGCUAAGCAAUAUACCGAAGCUGCGGACGCAAAGUUUACUUUGCGUGGUAGGGGAGCGUUGUGUAAGUGGCUGAAGGUGAACUGAGAGGUUUGCUGGACAUAUCACAAGUGCGAAUGCUGACAUGAGUAACGAUAAUGCGGGUGAAAAACCCGCACGCCGGAAGACCAAGGUUUCCUGUCCCAUGCUAAUCAGGGCAGGGUAAGUCGGCCCCUAAGGCGAGGCAGAAAUGCGUAGUCGAUGGGAAACGGAUUAAUAUUUCCGUACUUGGUAUAUCAGUGAUGGGGGGACGGAGAAGGUUAUGCAAGCAUAGCGUUGGUUGUCUAUGUGAAAGUGUGUAGGGUUGAAUCUUAGGUAAAUCCGGGAUUCUACAUGCCUGAGACACGAGACGAGACUCUACGGAGUUGAAGUUGCAAAUACCCUGCUUCCAGGAAAAGCCUCUAAACUUAUGAUAUAUCGAACCGUACCCCAAACCGACACAGGUGGUCAGGUAGAGAAUACUAAGGCGCUUGAGAGAACUCGGGUGAAGGAACUCGGCAAAAUCGUACCGUAACUUCGGGAGAAGGUACGCCGCUGUUUGUGAUGAGACUUGCUCUCUAAGCGAAUGGCGGCCGCAGUGAAAAGGUGGCUGGGACUGUUUAUUAAAAACACAGCACUGUGCUAAAUCGAAAGAUGACGUAUACGGUGUGACACCUGCCCGGUGCCGGAAGGUUAAUUGAUGGGGUUAGCGCAAGCGAAGCUCUUGAUCGAAGCCCCGGUAAACGGCGGCCGUAACUAUAACGGUCCUAAGGUAGCGAAAUUCCUUGUCGGGUAAGUUCCGACCUGCACGAAUGGUGUAACCAUGGCCACGCUGUCUCCACCCGAGACUCAGUGAAAUUGAAAUCGCAGUGAAGAUGCUGUGUACCCGCACCUAGACGGAAAGACCCCGUGAACCUUUACUAUAGCUUGGCACUGAACAUUGACCCUACAUGUGUAGGAUAGGUGGGAGACUUUGAAGCCGCGUCGCCAGAUGCGGUGGAGUCUACCUUGAAAUACCACCCUUGUACGUUUGAUGUUCUAACGUUG